UACAGAGGUCUCAAGCGUUGUUCGGAUUCAUUGGGCGUAAAGGGUGCGCAGGCGGCCGAGUGUGUGAGGCGUGAAAGCCCGAUGCUUAACAUCGGAAUUGCACCUCAAACUACACGGCUAGAGCAUUGGAGAGGGUAGCAGAAUUCAUGGUGUAGCAGUGAAAUGCGUAGAUAUCAUGAGGAAUACCAGAGGCGAAGGCGGCUACCUGGACAAUUGCUGACGCUCAGGCACGAAAGCGUGGGGAGCAAAAGGG
RNAcentral lists this ribosomal RNA (253 nucleotides) under uncultured bacterium. RNAcentral's name for it is "partial 16S ribosomal RNA". It matches the Rfam family "Bacterial small subunit ribosomal RNA", at positions 524 to 776 of the family's 1533-position model. The record is from RNAcentral.